This is a non-coding RNA of Pogona vitticeps (central bearded dragon), 190 nucleotides long. The record is from RefSeq and is a predicted model, not a curated record. Lineage: Eukaryota; Metazoa; Chordata; Lepidosauria; Squamata; Agamidae.
CAUGAUAACCGUGUGUCUGGCAAACUGAGAAAGCAUCACAUACUGUAUGCUGAUGGGAAAGUGUACCCGAGUUCUGAUCAUUUCGAUUUUGACAUGUCUCUCUCAGAUUCCUCAGGUGAAACUGCAGCAGAGCUGUAUGAACACUGACCACUGCACAAGUAUAAGUGGGAUCCAUCUCUGGUACAUUUGG